UACGAAGGGGGCUAGCGUUGCUCGGAAUUACUGGGCGUAAAGCGCACGUAGGCGGAUUGUUAAGUCGGGGGUGAAAUCCUGGAGCUUAACUCCAGAACUGCCUUCGAUACUGGCGAUCUCGAGUUCGGGAGAGGUGAGUGGAACUGCGAGUGUAGAGGUGAAAUGUGUAGAGAUCCGGAGGAACACCAGUGGCGAAGGCGCUGUCCUGGGCCACCUCUGACGCUGAUACGCGAAGGCGUGGGGAGCGAACGGG
Molecule: ribosomal RNA, 253 nt
Filed under: uncultured bacterium
Lineage: Bacteria
Description: partial 16S ribosomal RNA
Rfam family: Bacterial small subunit ribosomal RNA
Source: RNAcentral